CCUGCGUGAAGCACCUCAUAAAAUCUGCAUGGUGGUACCUACAGCUGACCUCCACACACACACACACACACACACACACACACACACACACACCAAACACUAUAAACAAAUGUGCUAAGGGAAAGUUCCUUUCAGAGCAGUGGUUCUCAACCUUCUUAGCACGGUGACCUUUACUACAGUUCCUCAUGUUGUGAUGACCCCCUCCCAACCAUGAAAUUAUUUUCUUGUUGAUUCAUAAGUGUAAUUUUUCUACUAUUAUGAAUUGUGAUGUAAAUAUGUGCUUUCCAAUGGUCUUAGGUGAGCCCUGUGAAGGGUUGUGCAAAAAAAAAAAAAAAAAAAAAUCCCAAAGAGGUUGAGAACAGUAGCUUUAGAGCCAAGCAGGUUUUCUCAUAUUCUUCCAGGGAGCCACUCCAGUUUGAGAGAGGACAGGCAGGAACUCCAAAUUACUCAAAUCCGGAGCCAAUCAGCCUUCUAAGUUUUGAGGGUGUCACAUUGGCAAAGAAUCUGUAAACCUGACCAGAAAGGCCUCACUUGACCCUUCUCUCCUGUUAUCACUUACCCUGCAUGUCUCUAACAGCUGAGAAGGACAUCUGGGACAACUGAAAUGUCUAUGAGGAAGGCAUGCCACUCCCACACAGCGGCCGUGGAUACCAGGAUAUCCCAGACCAGGUAAUUUACAAUGAAGUUUCUUACCCACGGACCUGGAGACUGGAGAAAUCCAAGAUCAAGAGCCUUCAGCUAUCAGGGACUUCAUGGCAGAAGGCAGAAGGCAGAAGGCAGAAGGCAGAAGGCAUGCUUGAGUGCAAGAGAAAACUAAAGUCACUCAAACAGAAAGCCCACUCUCAAGAUAACGCACCUACUGUCACAGACACAGCAUUUGUCCAUUCCCAAGGGAACACUUGACCUCCCUCAAAAGCCUCACCUCGGUGUUGCUAUUUAGGGGAGAACUUUCUAACAGACGGACUUUGGGGGACACAGUCAGAUCAUGCCGUAUCCCUACCCCCAACCCUCCUCUGGCCUUCUUUCCUCUGGAGAGUUAUGUUAGAAACAAGUUGCCUUGUUUAAGCUACUGAGAAGUUGAACCUUUGUUAAAACAGCCAAGACUUUCUCUAGCUGGCACACGUGCACUCUGGGAACAGGCUAGGCUUAGCAGUUCCCAUAUGUUGAUAUGUGCUUAUGCAGUGCUCAGUAUAAGCAACGGAGCGUGUGCCCCACCCCCGCAGCCCCAGGAGAGAAACAGCUUUAUUACUUCUGUUUUGCAGAUGAGGAGGAAACAGAGGCAAAAAUAGAUUAAGUAACUUGAUAAAACUAUCAAGUGAUGGAGACAAGACUAACAUUCACAGUUUCUGGAUUCCAUCAGCCACAACUGACAUGGGAGACGACUUGUGAAAAGCUCAGGCCUGGCUGCGACAAGAUGCUCACCAAGUCGUUAGUAUUGUCAUUCACCUCGCCACCUGCUGCCUGCGUCCCCACACUUCCAGUUCCAAGAUGCUGAAAGCACACCGUGUGGGACAGUUCAAAACGGAGGUGGAUUCCGGCAGGGGCGUAGCUGUACAGCACUGAAACCCUGUGGUUUUUCCAUUUCAAAGAGUGUUCUACCCUGCCCUGGCCUGCCCUGCCCUGGCCUGCCCUAGCCCUGCCCCCAUCCCUGCACCUGCUUCUUGACCACUGUUCCCACACCUGCUCUUGCUGCCAGCCCCACCCCCGCCCAUCCCCUCGGGCAGGGCGAAUCAGCAGAAGGCACUGGCCUCAGCUGGGUAACGUAUACUUCUUUGGUGCUUGGUUUUCAUCUCUGGCCACGGAGUUAUGUUUCCUGUAACCCUACUUCUUGGCUCUCUUGCCCACUAGAUAUAUAAUAGGGGCUGUGCACCUUGACCCUGGGGUGGGUUUGGCUGCCAUCGCUGCAGAGCAGAUUUGUCUGCUGCAAGGGGUUGGAGAUCCUGUUUAAGUGUGUGUGUGUGUGUGUGUGUUUAAUCUAUAUCAAAGAGAUAAAAACACCUUGAAGAGGUUGAGAGGAAAUGCCCUGGGUGAAAUCUACCAAUGAUAAGUUGCAAAUGGGGUGCCCCUGGGCCUGAGUGGUUCAGAUGCUGAGAAAGUGGCUUCUGUUGGGUCAUCAGACACAGAGCUUGGAAGCCCUGUCCACCCUGCCUCUGGCUGGAGAAUCGCAUGGGUGCUAGAGUUCCAAGGACCUAAACAGAACCAGUACUUUUUUAGUAUAAUCUAGGUGGCCCCACAGGCUCCCUCGGGACCGUUUUCUGCAGGGAUGUUGGGGAUGGUGUUGGGUGCGUGCUGUUGCUAUCUAGCAUCUCUUUUGGGCAAACCUUCAGAUCUCCCUUCAGUGCUUUACAGAACACACAUGCACAUGGAGACAGAGGUUGCUGUCGAUGUCUUUCUCAAUGGUUCUGCAUCUUUUUUUUUUUUUUUUGACCUUUAUCUCCUAAAUUUCUAGCAUUUAAAAUAUUUGUUUAUGUUUAAGUCUGUGUGUCUGUGUGACUGUGUGUGGGUAUGUGAGAGUAAGAAGUUAGACGAGGGCAUCAGAUCCCCUAAAGCUGGAGUUGCAGGGGUGUGUGAGCUGCCCAGCAUUGGUGCUGGAAAGUGAACUCUGGACCUCCUGGAAGAACACCAAGUGCUUGACAACCACUGAGUCAUCUCUCUAGCAAUCCACAUUAUUUUUGGGGACAGGGUAUCUCGCCAAAGACGGAGUUCACCAAUUUGGCUAAACUGGCUGGCUUGUGCCAGGGAUCUGCCUGUUCCCCACCCCUACCCCAAAACGCUAGCAUCACAGGCACACAUACCUGGCUGUCGGGGGAUCUGAACUCAGGUCUCAUGCUUGCAUGACCAACACUGACUGAAACUUCUCCUGUCCCUGCUCUUUAGAUGUUUACUUGGCAAUUUUUAGUUAUUGAAGAAACCAUGCUCCCCCUAAGCUCAGACCCUGAGAUUUUUUUGAGAGCCCCAACUGCACUGGGUCCCAGAAGUUUUUUGCUGCACACUCAGCUAACCACACCAAGUGCCUCUGACCACAGUGAUGGUGAAAUGGACAGAAGCGGUCCAAAGGGAACAUGUUUAACGUUUAUGUAAGGUAACAGAACAUCUUCCCUCAGGGAUCUGGCACUGAGAGGAUGGAAUGUGGAGAUCUUGGAGGCUGCCCUGCAGGAUGAAGUCAAAGGGCCCUUUUUUGUCAUUCACUACGCCCAAGUUGCAACCACCUGAGCUUGCUGCUCUACCCAAAGACCUGGGUAUAGUUCCCAGCACCACGUGGAAGAAGAGAAUAGACUCUCUUAAACUGUUCUCUGACUCUCUCUCUCUCUCACUCUGCGUUUCUCUAAUAAAUAAAUGCAAAAAAAAAUUAAAAAAAAAAA
This is a long non-coding RNA of Meriones unguiculatus (Mongolian gerbil), 3362 nucleotides long. RefSeq lists it as uncharacterized. The transcript is spliced from 2 exons. NCBI's taxonomy places the organism in Eukaryota, Metazoa, Chordata, Mammalia, Rodentia, Muridae. The record is from RefSeq and is a predicted model, not a curated record.